UGGCUUUGUCCUAAGUCAAACUGUUCUAACUUUGACUAAGCUUUUAGAAAAUAUAACAAGAUCUAUAGUACCAAACAAAUACACCAUCAGAACAUAUUUCAUGAUGGAUUUGAUGAAACUAAUUCGAGGUUGUAAAUGUUGGUACCUUUUCCUAUAAACUUGGUCAAAAGGAGAGAAGUUUGACUUAGGACAAACCUAA
This 199-nucleotide microRNA precursor is filed under the name Dichanthelium oligosanthes. RNAcentral's name for it is "MIR1435 microRNA precursor family". It matches the Rfam family "MIR1435 microRNA precursor family". The record is from Rfam by way of RNAcentral. Lineage: Eukaryota; Viridiplantae; Streptophyta; Magnoliopsida; Poales; Poaceae.